ACGUCAAGGAGUCGACACGCUGCGAGAGACGCUCCGGCUCCGUCGCCAGGCCAAGGAUAUCGCGCCUCUGUUUUUGAGACUGAAAUCGCAGGCAGUGGAGAGGAUGUCAGGAGCGCGGGCUGGAGGGGCGCCGCCCUUGGGUAGCCUUCUCCUGCUGUUGGCGUUGGUGGCGAGAGGAGCUCACGCAGCUUUCUCCAUCAAGGGCAUCACCUGGAACGCCGAGU
Molecule: long non-coding RNA, 224 nt
Organism: Penaeus monodon (black tiger shrimp)
Lineage: Eukaryota; Metazoa; Arthropoda; Malacostraca; Decapoda; Penaeidae
Exons: 2
Source: RefSeq, a predicted model, not a curated record